Molecule: ribosomal RNA, 581 nt
Filed under: Salmonella enterica subsp. enterica serovar Enteritidis
Lineage: Bacteria; Pseudomonadati; Pseudomonadota; Gammaproteobacteria; Enterobacterales; Enterobacteriaceae
Description: partial 23S ribosomal RNA
Rfam family: Bacterial large subunit ribosomal RNA
Source: RNAcentral
GGGUUGUGAGGUUAAGCGACUAAGCGUACACGGUGGAUGCCCUGGCAGUCAGAGGCGAUGAAGGGCGUACUAAUCUGCGAUAAGCGCCGGUAAGGUGAUAUGAACCGUUAUAACCGGCGAUACCCGAAUGGGGAAACCCAGUGUGAUUCGUCACACUAUCAUUAACUGAAUCCAUAGGUUAAUGAGGCGAACCGGGGGAACUGAAACAUCUAAGUACCCCGAGGAAAAGAAAUCAACCGAGAUUCCCCCAGUAGCGGCGAGCGAACGGGGAGGAGCCCAGAGCCUGAAUCAGCAUGUGUGUUAGUGGAAGCGUCUGGAAAGGCGCGCGAUACAGGGUGACAGCCCCGUACACAAAAGCGCAUGUGCUGUGAGCUCGAUGAGUAGGGCGGGACACGUGGUAUCCUGUCUGAAUAUGGGGGGACCAUCCUCCAAGGCUAAAUACUCCUGACUGACCGAUAGUGAACCAGUACCGUGAGGGAAAGGCGAAAAGAACCCCGGCGAGGGGAGUGAAAAAGAACCUGAAACCGUGUACGUACAAGCAGUGGGAGCCCCACCACCAAAGCAUUUGCUGUACCGCGUUG